UGGGGAAUAUUGCGCAAUGGGGGCAACCCUGACGCAGCCAUGCCGCGUGAAUGAAGAAGGCCUUCGGGUUGUAAAGUUCUUUCGGUAGCGAGGAAGGCAUUUAGUUUAAUAGACUAGGUGAUUGACGUUAACUACAGAAGAAGCACCGGCUAACUCCGUGCCAGCAGCCGCGGUAAUACGGAGGGUGCGAGCGUUAAUCGGAAUAACUGGGCGUAAAGGGCACGCAGGCGGUGACUUAAGUGAGGUGUGAAAGCCCCGGGCUUAACCUGGGAAUUGCAUUUCAUACUGGGUCGCUAGAGUACUUUAGGGAGGGGUAGAAUUCCACGUGUAGCGGUGAAAUGCGUAGAGAUGUGGAGGAAUACCGAAGGCGAAGGCAGCCCCUUGGGAAUGUACUGACGCUCAUGUGCGAAAGCGUGGGGAGCAAACAGGAUUAGAUACCCUGGUAGUCCACGCUGUAAACGAUGUCGAUUUGGGGGUUGAGCUUUGAGCUUGGCGCCCGUAGCUAACGUGAUAAAUCGACCGCCUGGGGAGUACGGCCGCAAGGUUA
Molecule: ribosomal RNA, 547 nt
Filed under: uncultured bacterium
Lineage: Bacteria
Description: bacterial SSU rRNA
Rfam family: Bacterial small subunit ribosomal RNA
Source: RNAcentral